AAGACCUUGCGCUUUUGGAGCGGCCGAUGCCUGAUUAGCUUGUUGGUAAGGUAAAAGCUUACCAAGGCUUCGAUCAGUAGCUGGUCUGAGAGGACGGCCAGCCACACUGGGACUGAGACACGGCCCAGACUCCUACGGGAGGCAGCAGUGGGGAAUUUUGGACAAUGGGGGCAACCCUGAUCCAGCCAUGCCGCGUGAGUGAAGAAGGCCUUCGGGUUGUAAAGCUCUUUCAGCCGGAACGAAACGGUUACGGUUAAUACCCGUGAUUACUGACGGUACCGGAAGAAGAAGCACCGGCUAACUACGUGCCAGCAGCCGCGGUAAUACGUAGGGUGCGAGCGUUAAUCGGAAUUACUGGACGUAAAGCGUGCGCAGGUGGUUUUGUAAGUCAGAUGUGAAAGCCCCGGGCUCAACCUGGGAACU
RNAcentral lists this ribosomal RNA (423 nucleotides) under uncultured bacterium. RNAcentral's name for it is "bacterial SSU rRNA". It matches the Rfam family "Bacterial small subunit ribosomal RNA", at positions 207 to 622 of the family's 1533-position model. The record is from RNAcentral.